RNAcentral lists this long non-coding RNA (993 nucleotides) under Chelydra serpentina (North American snapping turtle). Its description in RNAcentral is "lncRNA (ENSCSRG00000018093.1)". Lineage: Eukaryota; Metazoa; Chordata; Testudines; Chelydridae. The record is from RNAcentral.
ACACAGGAGCCCUGCUCUGAGCACCCCCAGCGGACUGAGCUCCCUUCCCUUCCCCGCCCCCCCAGUGCUCGGCAGACUGUGGCACCGGUACCCAGCGGCGCGACGUGAUCUGCGUCAGCAAGCUGGGCUCGGAGUUCAACGUGACGGAGGCCUCGGAGUGCGCCCCCCUGGAGAAGCCGCCCUCCCUGCAGCCCUGCACCGGCAGUGCCUGCGACGCUCGCUGGUUCUCCACCUCCUGGAGCGCGUGUUCCAAGUCGUGUGUCGGGGGAGUCCAGGUGCGGGAGGUGCAGUGCCUGACCCAGAACAAAACCUUCAGCAAUCUCUGCCCGUCGGAGCUCAAGCCCAUCAAGAAACGCUCCUGCAAUACCCAGCCCUGCACCCCCGAGCUCGACGAGAACUGCAGGGACAAGUACCACAACUGCCCCGUGGUGGUGCAGGCCCGGCUCUGCGUCUAUUCGUACUACAAGCUGGUGUGCUGCGCUUCCUGCACCCGGGCCGUGGAGCGGAGCAAGGACAUGCAGAGCCGGUAGCGGCGCCGGCCGGCCAGAGACGGGGGCCGGGCUCCCGCUCGCUCAUCGUGGGGAUGGGCGUGUUUCUUGGGGAGGACUCGGAUGGACCUGGGCUGUGAAACCAACACCCGCCCCCCCCCCCCCCCCGACCCUCCUGGGACCCGGCUGUGGGGAGGGGACAACCGGACUCUGCAUGCGGAGAAGAGGAACGAGGGGCCGGGGCGGCUUUGAACGAGGAUCACGGCUCGUCCCAGGGCCACAGAUCUUCCCUGUCGCUGGAGAGGCCGGUUCUGCUCGCAGAUCUAGGGCCCGAUCCUGGGUGGGGCUGAGUGCCGGGAGCUUGUCUCCAGCAGGGCCAGUCCUGCCCAGGAUCAGGGCCCUUGUGUGUUACUGACCAAUUCUGCAUACGGGCCCAGUGCUGAUGGGAAGGGGCCGCCGCAGGCCGUGAUGCUGACUUCUCCCCGGGGGGUCGUGAUGCUGGAUG